UGGGGAAUAUUGGACAAUGGGCGCAAGCCUGAUCCAGCCAUGCCGCGUGAGUGAUGAAGGCCCUAGGGUUGUAAAGCUCUUUCACCGGUGAAGAUAAUGACGGUAACCGGAGAAGAAGCCCCGGCUAACUUCGUGCCAGCAGCCGCGGUAAUACGAAUGGGGCUAGCGUUGUUCGGAUUUACUGGGCGUAAAGCGCACGUAGGCGGACUUUUAAGUCAGGGGUGAAAUCCCGGGGCUCAACCCCGGAACUGCCUUUGAUACUGGAAGUCUUGAGUAUGGUAGGGGUGAGUGGAAUUCCGAGUGUAGAGGUGAAAUUCGUAGAUAUUCGGAGGAACACCAGUGGCGAAGGCGGCUCACUGGACCAUUACUGACGCUGAGGUGCGAAAGCGUGGGGAGCAAACAGG
RNAcentral lists this ribosomal RNA (404 nucleotides) under Actinomycetes bacterium. RNAcentral's name for it is "Actinobacteria bacterium partial 16S ribosomal RNA". It matches the Rfam family "Bacterial small subunit ribosomal RNA", at positions 355 to 776 of the family's 1533-position model. Lineage: Bacteria; Bacillati; Actinomycetota; Actinomycetes. The record is from RNAcentral.